GGUUUGUUGCUCAGCGGUACAGCGCGCUCACCUAGCAGCGUGAGAGGCCCUGGGUUCGAUCCUCAGUACCA
Molecule: transfer RNA, 71 nt
Filed under: Marmota monax (woodchuck)
Lineage: Eukaryota; Metazoa; Chordata; Mammalia; Rodentia; Sciuridae
Description: tRNA.Ala
Source: RNAcentral